RNAcentral lists this ribosomal RNA (266 nucleotides) under uncultured Staphylococcus sp. Its description in RNAcentral is "partial 16S ribosomal RNA". It matches the Rfam family "Bacterial small subunit ribosomal RNA", at positions 96 to 354 of the family's 1533-position model. Lineage: Bacteria; Bacillati; Bacillota; Bacilli; Caryophanales; Staphylococcaceae. The record is from RNAcentral.
CGGCGGACGGGUGAGUAACACGUGGAUAACCUACCUAUAAGACUGGGAUAACUUCGGGAAACCGGAGCUAAUACCGGAUAAUAUAUUGAACCGCAUGGUUCAAUAGUGAAAGACGGUUUUGCUGUCACUUAUAGAUGGAUCCGCGCCGCAUUAGCUAGUUGGUAAGGUAACGGCUUACCAAGGCAACGAUGCGUAGCCGACCUGAGUGGGUGAUCGGCCACACUGGAACUGAGACACGGUCCAGACUCCUACGGGAGGCAGCAGGC